This is a long non-coding RNA of Dama dama (fallow deer), 3673 nucleotides long. RefSeq lists it as uncharacterized. The transcript is spliced from 4 exons. Lineage: Eukaryota; Metazoa; Chordata; Mammalia; Artiodactyla; Cervidae. The record is from RefSeq and is a predicted model, not a curated record.
GCUGUGGCCAUCAGUUCCUCCCCGAGGGCAAAGGAACUCCUGGAUGAUUCUCAAAGGAGCUCUGAUCCAACGGGGUCUCUAAGUGGGGUGUGGAAAAGAAUUCCUCAAGUUUGGAGAAAGAGAAGUCACCCAGCCUUUUGGAAGAAUGUCCUCGCCUUUGUGAUCCAACUACAGGGGAGGAGAGCCAAGGCUGUACAGUCUCCUUAGGUUUCAGAGUGCACUGCGGGGGUAAGGAGUGGGGCUGGGGCGAUCAGGGAGCUGGGAACUCCAAGAUGCAGAAAGUCCAGGGCUUGUCCAGGGGUCCAGAGACCCCUUCAGUCUCCAGCCCACUGGCCUGUCUGCUGAAGCCUUCUGCUUUCAGGUGGGAGGGACCAGCCCAGCAGGGUAGGUUCCUCCUAUACAGAGCCUCCAGCACUUGAGUUGGGCAAGAAAAGUUUAAAUGUGGAUAAAAAGGGCUGUCACAACGGAAGAAGCCCUUUAAACCACCCACAAAGAGCCAACUCCAAGGCGAGCUUUGUCUGGCCAAGGAGGAUUUCCUGGUAGGAGAGGGGUUAAAGUUGGGCUCCCCGCUCAGAAAGGAAGGAGCCCAGAUGCAGUCUAUGACAUAAUCCCCACAAUAGCUCUGUUCGGAAGCGGAAGAGAAAGCCUGGGGAGAAGCAAAAGCCCUUCGUAGAGACCGGGCACACGCUCCUUUAUCCCUUUUAGGCGGAGAGAGCCUGAAGAAGUCAGGACGGAGAAAUCCCUCGGGCUCAGCCUUGGUACCAGCAUGGGGAGCCCUCCACACCUGUACUGGCACCACAAAGUGAGCUAGCAGUCACUCAGAGCCGCCCUGGAACCCCCGCUACGUCUCCCAGCGAGCCAACCCUUUCCCGUCUAUGUCAGGUGCAGAGGACUCAAGAUCCUCUUAAAGCCAUUAUCGCUUCACGUUGAAGACAUAUGGGAUGCUUCUUCAACUGCCUGCUCUCUCCAGCUGAGACUUAACCUCCCUCCGCCUGGCCGGACCGCUCCACACACAUCACCGUUCCCUGCCCUGUUAUGCCCGAGUUCAAGCAGAUAAGCUACCAGCAUGGCUUCUAACGGAGGAAGGGAGGGGGGCUCUCCAGGGAACUCCGCUUUCUGAGGGAAAGGAGUUUGUACCACAGCAAAAGGCACACGCUGCCCUUCCUCAGUGACCUCAGAGAGGAAUCUACUUACAAAGGCUGAAGUCGGAGAGGAAAGUGGGAGAAGGAGGGGAGAGAGAGGGAGACCGUGACCAGAGAGGUCGCAAAGCUCACUGGAAUAACUGGGAGGCAAGGAAAAGGCCGCCUUGUCACGAGGACAGAACUGCUCGGACCCCUCUGAUUAUGACGGAGGGAAGGCGGGUGCUGAGGCAGUGCCUGGGGCAGAAGCUCGCGGACCACUGCGUGGUACGUGGGGACAUGCAGGAGAAAAUGCUCUGAAGCUGAUGACAAGGCAGACAGGAAACUUCCGUGUCCUUGCUGACAGGAAAGAAAGAGUGAAAUUCUGGAUUCUCUCUCCUCGGCAGGAUUUCUAACAGGCAUCUGAGGCUCACCCGCUUCCCAAGGAUGUGCUGACAGCUGGGAAUACUGCCCUUCAGGUCAGGCAGAGCAGGGAUCUAGGCCUCUCCAGGAGUUCACAAGAGGUUCAGUAAGGACUCAGACCAUGAUCCAAAACACAAAUGGGACUGCCAUUUCCUGCUGGGUUUCCAUGCUGUAAAAAAGUGGGGGAGAGAUGCCAACAGCAAAGUGCUCAGCCUCCUGUGGAAAAUGGAGUAUGUGAUGUAGCCGGCUCCAGGCUCUGACUUGUAAAUCUAAGUGAGAACUAGUUGCUAGCUGUAGAGGAUUACAGUGUUCAAGAGACACUCCACCACCCAAACUGCCAGUCUCUGCUCCCUGCCUGUGGACUUCUAGGGAGCUGACGACAAAGCUGUCUGGGGCCUCCAUGGGACGGGCAGCCUGGGGCUCUGGCAGCUCCUCUGGACCUCAGUUCACUGUCCUGUGUUCUUAAACAGCUUUGAUGGAACAAGCCAUCUGUGAGGGUUAUUUAGCUUGGAACUGGAAGAGAGUGAGGAUGUGGAAAAAAUAAAUCGGGCGGCCAAAGGAUGGGGCCAGAGAGAGAGAGAGGGCAGGUGGCAUGUUCACGGGACUAUGUGCCAGGGCCGAGAGGAGGGUGGGACUGCAGAGGAACAGUGCCGAAGGAGGCCAGCACGGGAGGUGCUGGGGCACCCAGGACAGCACGACUUUAUUUCCAAAGUGGUGUCUGCCAUUAUCCUUGAAGGGCUCACAAACCCUCACUUGCAGGUGUCUGUGAUGGGAGACUCCUGGGCUAUCACAGCUGUUAAGCGCCCCUGCUUUGCCAUCUGAAAAACAACCUGAGUUCUGCCUAAUUUCUUGCAGGGCCUGGGCCUGCAACUUAGUCUAAAAGGCAAAUCUAACAGUUUUUUGACACCCAAAGCUACAAGAUAAUGGCAAGAGCUCAAAGAGUGGAAAAGUAAGAUGAUGGAGGAUCAGGGGGAAUCCUUAUGAAUUACAGAAAACAGCAACAGAAACACAUAAACUGCAUGGCACAUGGGGAGGAUAUACGGGAAUCUGAUGCAGGACUGGAUUGUACCUGGUCGUUUCUUUGGAGUCGUCUUAACCGCUCCUUCAAUCAGUAUAAAGAAUAUAUAUAUGGGCUUCCCUGAUGGCUCAAAUGGUAAAGAAUCAGCCUGCAAUGUAGGAGGCCCGGGUACGAUCCCUGGGUCCUGAAGAUCCCCUGGAGAAGGGAAAGGCAACCUACUCCAGUAUUCUUGCCUGGAGAAUUCCAUGGACAGAGGAGCCUGGUGGGCUACAGUCCAUGGGGUCGCAAAGAGUCAGAUACGACUAAGCGACUAACACUUUCAAUUUCAUAUAUAUGUGUAUAUACACACAGAGAGAGACUUUUAUGUUUAGAAUCUAGGCGUUUUCACAUAUGUUAUCUCAUGUAAUCCAUGCUAGGGGACUACUAGCAUUCCCAUUUCACAGAGUGUAAACUCAAGCCCAGAGGGAAUGAAUAACUUACAUGCAGCUUUCUUAUGAUCUGAAUGGAGCAGAAUGAAGAUUAUGAUUCGUAACGAGACUUUUAAUCAGACCUCUCUACAGGUCAUUCUGGUAAAAUGGCAUUAGCAUUGAUGGUGUCUCAUCUGAUCUAUUCUCCUCACAGGAUUUGAGAAAAAGACCAAAAAAGCUGCUCCUGGAGUCUAUUUCUGAUUCUUUACCAAGUCUUUCCAAGUCAUCAGACUAAGAACAGGUUUAGAGACAGUGAGCCAGCAACUCUGAAUGCUGUUUACUUGACACACACACACACGGAGAGACAUACAAACUAUUAUAAACUGCUCAGUAUAGUUUCAGUGCUUCAUGCUGGUAAGACAGAGACACAAAAUUUCUGUACCAGCCUGUACCAGCGAAGCCUACUCACAGCCUAAACUGUUUUAAAAUGGACGACACAGAGCUAGAACUGAAUCCCGUCACUGAAUUCUGUUACGUAGGCUAAAGUCAUUCCUACUGCUGACAAAGCAGAAGAGAAGUUCAAUGACAGCAUCUCUUCUAGGAGCUGCUGAAGAGAUGGUGACACCUGGGUUUGAAGUACCAGGACAAAUGGAAGCUGUUCAGUAACGGCUGAAUCACAAGGCACGUGGUAAAAAACAAAAAUCAAA